This 84-nucleotide non-coding RNA is filed under the name Acetohalobium arabaticum. RNAcentral describes it as "c-di-GMP sequence". It matches the Rfam family "c-di-GMP-I riboswitch aptamer". From Rfam's summary of the family: GEMM was predicted in a large-scale screen for bacterial structured RNA regulatory elements. Genes associated with GEMM are involved in a diverse array of functions, including chemotaxis regulation, signal transduction, secretion and chitin. The record is from RNAcentral. RNAcentral also lists the same sequence under 1 other name. Lineage: Bacteria; Bacillati; Bacillota; Clostridia; Halanaerobiales; Halobacteroidaceae.
CCUCAAAAAAGGCACACUUGCUGAAAAGUAAGGUCGCAAAGUCUUGAGUCUAAAGCAUAAAGCCAUGACUGUCGGACUGCUGAA